This 497-nucleotide ribosomal RNA is filed under the name uncultured bacterium. RNAcentral describes it as "partial 16S ribosomal RNA". It matches the Rfam family "Bacterial small subunit ribosomal RNA", at positions 28 to 507 of the family's 1533-position model. The record is from RNAcentral.
GAUGAACGCUGGCGGCGUGCCUAAUACAUGCAAGUCGAGCGAACAGACGAGGAGCUUGCUCCUCUGACGUUAGCGGCGGACGGGUGAGUAACACGUGGAUAACCUACCUAUAAGACUGGGAUAACUUCGGGAAACCGGAGCUAAUACCGGAUAAUAUAUUGAACCGCAUGGUUCAAUAGUGAAAGACGGUUUUGCUGUCACUUAUAGAUGGAUCCGCGCCGCAUUAGCUAGUUGGUAAGGUAACGGCUUACCAAGGCAACGAUGCGUAGCCGACCUGAGAGGGUGAUUCGCCACACUGGAACUGAGACACGGUCCAGACUCCUACGGGAGGCAGCAGUAGGGAAUCUUCCGCAAUGGGCGAAAGCCUGACGGAGCAACGCCGCGUGAGUGAUGAAGGUCUUCGGAUCGUAAAACUCUGUUAUUAGGGAAGAACAAAUGUGUAAGUAACUAUGCACGUCUUGACGGUACCUAAUCAGAAAGCCACGGCUAACUACGUG